RNA transcript from Carassius carassius (crucian carp), 1773 nucleotides. It is a transcript of the gene named tripartite motif-containing protein 16-like, with no coding region annotated. NCBI's taxonomy places the organism in Eukaryota, Metazoa, Chordata, Actinopteri, Cypriniformes, Cyprinidae. The transcript is spliced from 6 exons. The record is from RefSeq and is a predicted model, not a curated record.
GCAUCGGAAUGAAGCGCAAAGCUGAACAGACCUGUAUGGAGUGUGAAGCUUCUUUCUUUGAGCAUCAUCUUGUCAUGCAUAACAGUUUGCACGUGGGAAAGAGGCACAGGCUUGUUGAGCCCAAUGCAGUGUUGCAGGAGAACAUCUGCUCUGAUCAUGGCAAAAUGCUGUACUGCCGCACAGACCAGCUGUGCAUCUGUCACUUGUGCAUUACCGAUAAACACAGAGGUCAUGAAGUCAUCCCAGUGGAAGAGGAAGUGGCCAAUAAACAGAUUAAGUUGGGGGAGUUGGAAAAGUGGACCGCUGACAUAAUUAAAGCUAAGGAGAAGGAUGUGCAAGAGCUGAGACUAGCUGUGGAGAUUUUCAAGGCUUCAGCAAAUGAGGCACUGGAGAAGAAUGAGAAAAAUUUCACAGAGCUGAUCCAGUCAAUGAAAGACAGUCAGAGCAAUGACAGAGCUGAUCCACAGACAGACGAAGUGUGCAGUGAAGGAAGCGGAGGGAUUCAUAAACACGCAGGAGAUCAAUAAUAUGAGGUCCUCAGGUGCUGAUCUACAACACCUGGAGCUGCUCUCUCAUUCAAACAAUGAUGUUCGAUUUUUUGAGAGCGCUGUGUCUCUGCCUUUGCUGACUGAGUAUAAAAAAACAUUUGUCUUUCUUGUGCAUCCGUACAAUUCUUUUGAGCGUGAUUCCAUGGCAGUUAGCGAGCUAAUAGAAAAGCUAAACGUGACCAGCAAGAUGAGUUUAUUCACAAUUUCUAGAAAAGUGUUUAAUGCUGAGAAGGACACCAGGCUAGAAGGACUCUUCAGCCUUCCCUAAGAAGCACCCAUGUAUACAAAUCACCUUUUUUUUUUUGCAGUGAGAAACACUAGAAUUGUUAGAUCACCACCACCACAGACACGAGAGGAGUUUCUGCAGUAUGCAUCAAAACUCACUUUUAAUACCAACUCAGCAAAUGAAAGUCUCAUCUUGAGGAAUGAGAACAGGGAGGUGAUAGCCACGCACCUGCUCCAGGACUAUCCUGAACACACUCAGAGGUUUAACUGCAGGGCACAAAUCCUGUGCAAUGAAGGUCUCAGAGGCUCCCCUAAAUAUUGGGAAGUAGAGAUUGGCGGGGGCACUUGGGUCUGCAUUGCUGUGUCCUACCAAGGGAUCCGUAGAAAAGGCAAGCAGCGUACACUUUUUGGAAGAAAUGCUCAGUCAUGGGGAUUACGCUGUGAAAGUGUCCGUGUAGAAUUUUGGCAUGACAAUAAGACAACUUUUUCGAAGUUUCAAUCACAUGGCUCCAAAAUAGGAGUUUUUUUGGACUUCAGAGCUGGAAUCUUGGCAUUUUACAGUGUUUCCGACAACAUGAGUCUCAUUUAUAAGCACCAAACUGUUUUUAAAGAGCUUGUUUAUCCUGGGUUCGGACUGGCUGGGAAAGGUUCCUAUGUGAGGCUUUGUGAUCCAUUGAAAAAUUAGACAAAAAUGUGCCUUUCUUCUCCAUUUAAUUUAGGUAGUUUGUAAAUUGUAGUGUUUACACAUGCAGCUGUCAUGAAAUGCAUUUUAUUCUUAAACAAAUACAGUAUGUAAUAGUCAAUCAGGAUUUGGAAGAAGGAUGUGGUUUUUACAUGUAGACACUUGGUGGCAGCACUAUAUAAAGUUUUAAAUUGAGCCUUUUCAUGUCAGCAUCUGUAAUUAUGAACAGCUCAAGUUUAGCCAAAAAUAACCCAAGGAAGCAUAUCGAAGCAGUGCAUUUUGACUGAAAAAAGUCCAUGCUUUGUAUUGUAUGAAUCA